This 253-nucleotide ribosomal RNA is filed under the name uncultured bacterium. RNAcentral's name for it is "partial 16S ribosomal RNA". It matches the Rfam family "Bacterial small subunit ribosomal RNA", at positions 524 to 776 of the family's 1533-position model. The record is from RNAcentral.
UACGGAGGGUGCGAGCGUUGUUCGGAAUCACUGGGCGUAAAGCGCGUGUAGGCGGCCCAUUAAGUCUGAUGUGAAAGCCCGGGGCUCACCCCCGGAAGUGCAUUGGAAACUGAUGGACUCGAGUCCCGGAGAGGAGAGUGGAAUUCCUGGUGUAGCGGUGAAAUGCGUAGAUAUCAGGAGGAACACCGGUGGCGAAGGCGGCUCUCUGGACGGUGACUGACGCUGAGACGCGAAAGCGUGGGGAGCAAACGGG